Molecule: long non-coding RNA, 3491 nt
Organism: Hibiscus syriacus
Lineage: Eukaryota; Viridiplantae; Streptophyta; Magnoliopsida; Malvales; Malvaceae
Exons: 3
Source: RefSeq, a predicted model, not a curated record
AUCCAGCAUCUACUCCAAUGAUUUCUCAGCGCUUCUCCUCACGAUUCUCCCCUUUUCUCAAAACCUUGAUUAAUUCCAAUUUUCCAGAACACAAUUCUGGUUUUUUUCUGCAACCUGUUUGAAAAUUCCAUGUUCAAGCUGUGAUGGGUUUCCUUCGAAGUGAAAAUCAAUGGGCUUGGAGAGAUGAAGAGUUGGAUGAUGCGCAGUUGACAGUAGAACAGCUGCAAAUUUGUUGCGAAAUUAUGUUCAUUGGAAAGAGCUUUCAAGUCCUUUCACUUUUGGUGCCAAGAAUAGUAAGAUUAUUGUGACAACCUGUGAUGAUAAUGUAGCAGCAAUCGUGAGGAACGUUCCGACUUAUUAUCUUGAUGUCUUAUCAGAUGAUGAUUGUUGGAAGUUGUUUGUAAAUCAUGCAUUUGAUGCUACCAGCCCCAGCAAACAUCCAAAUAUGAUGGAAAUCGGUAAAGCGAUCGUUAAUAGAUGCAAUGGUCUCCCUUUGGCUGCAAAAACACUUGGAGGUCUUCUGCGUUGUAAAUUAGACCCUGAUGAUUGGAGUAAACUAUUACAUAGCAACUUUUGGGACAUACUACCAGAUGAUGCAUCCAAUAUUCUUCCGGCAUUUAGAUUGAGUUACUAUUAUCUUCCUUCACAUUUGAAACGUUGUUUUGCGUAUUAUUCUAUUUUUCCUAAAGAUUAUGAAUUCCAUAAAGAAGAGCUCAUUCAUUUAUGAAUGGCUGAAGGUCUUUUAGAGUUUUCCAAAAACAAUGGUGAUGCAGAAGAUCGAGGUAACGAGUACUUCAGAGAUUUGAGAUUGAGGUCAUUUUUCAACAAUGGAAGGGGAAGAAAAGUGGUUUUGUCAUACAUGAUCUAAUUAGUGACUUGGCUAAAUCCAUCACUGGAGAAUUUGUUUGCAGAUUGGAAGGUAGUGGUGGUUCAUGUGAAGUAAUUGAAAGGGCUCGUCACCUGUCCUGUGUCCAAGAAAAUAUGAUGUGCGAAAGAAAUUCAAGAGAUUACCUGAAGGUGGUGGUGGUUAUGUGAAAAAACUCGUCAUUUAUCCAAUGUCCAAGAAGAAUAUGAUGUGCAAAAGAAAUUUGAGGCUUUACCUAAAGCAAAAGGUUAAGGCAAAAGGUUUAAGUACAUUCCUAAACAUGAGGUCUUCUUAUGCUAGCAAUGUGCUAAUUCAUGAUUUGCUGGUUAAAUCAAGCUUUCGAGUGCUUUCUUUGGCCAAGUACGAAAAUAUCGGUGAAUUACCAGAAGAAAUUGGUAAUCUGAAGCAUCUGCGAAGUCUGGAUCUCUCAGAAACAUCGAUUAGAAGGUUGCCGAACUCUUUGAGUACACUGUAUAAUUUGCAAACUUUAACGUUGGUUAAAUUCAAAAACCUUGAUGAGACAUGGAGUAAUUUGCAAACUUUAACGUUGGAUCUCUCAAAUGUCGUAUCUUUGGAGUUAUGGAAUUGUAAAUUUUGCAUUUCCUUGCCAUCACUUGGGCAAUUAUAAUCUCUCAAAUCUCUCCUUAUUUCUAGGUUCAGCGGAGUGGUAACAGUGGGUGAUGAGUUCUACGGGAAUGGGCACGCUUCAGAUAAAUCAUUUGGAUCUCUUGAAAUUCUAUGCUUUGAGGAUAUGGCAGAGUGGGAAGAAUGGUUUUGUUCGAGUGAUGAAGUUUUCUCUCUUUUGCAAGAGCUGUUCCUAAGAAGCUGUUCCAAGAUUGUGAGAAGCUUGGAGGCUCGCUUCCAACAGCACCAAGCCUUUUCAAACUAAAGUUAGAAAAAUGCAAUGCAUUGCAAUUGGAGCCAUUGCCCUGCCGGCUUCGAGAGUUGGUGAUCAUAGAUUCAAAUAUUGACAGUUCCAUAUUGGAACAGAUGUUGCAACAAUGCACUCAUCUUGAAAAGUUGUCCAUGCGGGAUUGUUCUGGUAUCGCAUCCCUUCCCGACUCUAGUGUGCCUAUUAGGCUGAAGCAAUUGUGCAUCAUAAGCUGCAAAGUCUUGAAUUGUUCCAAAUCCUUGUUGUUUACAUCCCUUAAAUCCUUGCAGAUAAGAAGCAAGAAGUGUCAUCCGCUAGAAUCUUUCCCAUUAGGAUCAUUCCCUAUGUUAAAUAAUGUUUCUUUCUAGGGAUGUGAAGACUUGAACUUCAUUUGUGCUUCAAAGGACUCUCACCAGCAGCAUCUAGCAAGCCUCAGUUCUUUGAGUAUACAUUCGUGCCAAGAUUUUAUAUCUUUUCAAACCCAAGGCGGAUUGCUCAUCACGAAUUUGACCAAACUUCGUCUUUGGGAUUGUCCAAGUUUAAAAUCAUUGCCAGAGCAAAUGCAGUCCGUCUUCCCAUCCCUUGUGAUGUUGGCAAUAGGAGAUUGUCAGAAAUAGUCAUUUCCAGAAGAAGGUUUGCCCUCCAAAUUAAAAUACAUCACUAUCUUCGGAAGUGAUAAGAUCAUUGCGGGGUUGGUCGCGAAAAGGGAACGUUGUUUGCAAACACACCCUUCACUUACAUAUUUCGAAGUCUCAGAUACAGAGUUAGAGAUGAAGAGUUUUCCGGAUGAAAAUCUGCCCUCUUCGCUUACAUCUCUCACUAUCUCUGAUCUUCCAAAUCUUAAGUCUUUGGACUUUAAGGGCUUUCAACACCUCACAUCCCUUCAACGAUUGUAUAUCUACCAUUGUCCAAAGCUCCAAGCGCCAACAAAGAUGCUCCCACGUUCUCUUUUGUAUCUCUUCAUUGUGACUUGUCCAUUGCUGAAGGAACAUUGCCAGGAGGAGAAGGGAAAAGAUUGGCACAACAUUUCCCAUAUCCUUGUCAUUAAAAUUGACAAUGAAGUCAUUCUAUAGAAGGGACAGUUGAGUAGUUGACUGAGGAUAGGAAUGCCUAAAUGAGUCCCUUACCAUCCUCACGCAGGUAUUCCCUUCAUUUUCCUUAACCAUCCAUUUCUGUUUUUACUUCCGUUACUCAAGGUUUGACUUGUGCAUUUUUUUUUCUCUUGAUUGAGUUAGAUAUGCAACUUUUGUGUUUUUCCUGGAAACCACCAAUAAAACCAAAAAAUCAUUCACCUUAGCUUCUCUCCAUCCCUCAGAACUUUGACAAAUUCCAAUUUUCUUGGGGACAACUCUCCUUUUUUUCAGCACCUUUUUUGAAAAUCCCAUCUUCCAGCUUUGAUGGGUUUUUUCUGAAGAGAAAACAUUGGUUUUGAUGAGAAAUUAAUGGGUUUGUGGGGUGGGGGAAUUUGGAAUCAUUAGUGCUUGGAGAGGAGGAGGGAAUUUGGAACAGUUGGAUGUUGCGCCAUUGACAGUUGAAUUGCGGCAAAUUUCCAGUGAGAGUCAAUUUGAUAGAGUCAUUGCUGAAGCUCAACAACUUGAGGAGUCUUAGAUUAUUCUUUGGAUGGCAAGCUGGUGCAGAGAAUGUAUAUAUUUGAAGCCGAAAUUGGAAAAAUUGGCAGCUGAUUACUAUCCGAGGUUAGAUAAGUUCCUUUUUAAACUCUGACACUAUUAGUCCGGUCUAUCACAACGAACCUAG